CCUACGGGUGGCAGCAGUGAGGAAUAUUGGUCAAUGGGCGCGAGCCUGAACCAGCCAAGUCGCGUGAGGGAAGACGGUCCUAUGGAUUGUAAACCUCUUUUGUCGGGGAGCAAAAGACGCCACGCGUGGCGUUCCGAGAGUACCCGAAGAAAAAGCAUCGGCUAACUCCGUGCCAGCAGCCGCGGUAAUACGGAGGAUGCGAGCGUUAUCCGGAUUUAUUGGGUUUAAAGGGUGCGCAGGCGGAAGAGCAAGUCAGCGGUAAAAUUGAGGGGCCCAACCUCAUCGGGCCGUUGAAACUGGGUAUCUUGAGUGAUCGAGAGGUAUGCGGAAGGAGUGGGGUAGCGGUGAAAUG
This 352-nucleotide ribosomal RNA is filed under the name uncultured bacterium. RNAcentral describes it as "partial 16S ribosomal RNA". It matches the Rfam family "Bacterial small subunit ribosomal RNA", at positions 338 to 688 of the family's 1533-position model. The record is from RNAcentral.